GCUGUGAUGGCUGAGUGGUUAAGGUGUUGGAUUAGAAAUACAAAAGGGUUUCCCUGCAUAGGUUUGAAUCCUGCUCACAGUG
This 82-nucleotide transfer RNA is filed under the name Pelodiscus sinensis (Chinese soft-shelled turtle). It matches the Rfam family "tRNA". Rfam says of the family: Transfer RNA (tRNA) molecules are approximately 80 nucleotides in length. Their secondary structure includes four short double-helical elements and three loops (D, anti-codon, and T loops). The record is from Rfam by way of RNAcentral. Lineage: Eukaryota; Metazoa; Chordata; Testudines; Trionychidae.